CGAAAGCCUGACAGAGCAAUACCGCGUGAGGGAUGAAGACUUACUGAGUUGUAAACCUCGGUGCCUUAAGGAAGAAGAUCUGACGGUACUUAAGGUGGAAAGCAUCGGCUAACUCCGUGCCAGCAGCCGCGGUAAGACGGGGGAUGCAAGUGUUAUCCGGAAUCACUGGGCGUAAAGCGUCUGCAGGUGGUUUCCUAAGUCCACUGUUAAACCUUGAGGCUCAACCUCAAAUCUGCAUUGGAAACUAGGAGACUUGAGUAUAGUAGGGGUAGAGGGAAUUUCCAGUGGAGCGGUGAAAUGCGUAGAUAUUGGAAAGAACACCGAUGGCGAAGGCACUCUACUGGGCUAUUACUGACACUCAGAGACGAAAGCUAGGGGAGCAAAUGGGAUUAGAUACCCCAGUAGUCCUAGCCGUAAACGAUGGAUACUCGAUGUUGGACGUAUCGACCCGUUCAGUAUCUUAGCUAACGCGUUAAGUAUCCCGCCUGGGAAGUACGCUCGCAAGAGUG
RNAcentral lists this ribosomal RNA (509 nucleotides) under uncultured cyanobacterium. RNAcentral describes it as "bacterial SSU rRNA". It matches the Rfam family "Bacterial small subunit ribosomal RNA", at positions 376 to 896 of the family's 1533-position model. Lineage: Bacteria; Bacillati; Cyanobacteriota. The record is from RNAcentral.